CAUGUAGGCGGUUGUUUAAGUCUGAUGUGAAAGCCCUGGGCUCAACCCAGGAAGUGCAUUGGAUACUGGACAACUUGAGUACGGGAGAGGAAAGUGGAAUUUCGAGUGUAGGGGUGAAAUCCGUAGAUAUUCGAAGGAACACCAGUGGCGAAGGCGGCUUUCUGGACCGAUACUGACGCUGAGAUGCGAAAGCGUGGGGAGCAAACAGGAUUAGAUACCCUGGUAGUCC
This 229-nucleotide ribosomal RNA is filed under the name uncultured bacterium. RNAcentral describes it as "partial 16S ribosomal RNA". It matches the Rfam family "Bacterial small subunit ribosomal RNA", at positions 568 to 796 of the family's 1533-position model. The record is from RNAcentral.